This 7198-nucleotide long non-coding RNA is filed under the name Malus domestica (apple). RNAcentral describes it as "long non-coding RNA (MDOM_LNC000636)". Lineage: Eukaryota; Viridiplantae; Streptophyta; Magnoliopsida; Rosales; Rosaceae. The record is from RNAcentral.
AAGAACAGCACUUAAGGUGUUAGAAUGUGGUUUCUAUUGGCCUACCAUCUUUAGGGAUGCUAGAACAUUUUGCAUGUCUUGUGAUAGAUGCCAAAGAACGGGCAAUAUUGGUCCUAAACAACAAAUGCCGCAAACCCCCAUUUUUAGUGUUGAAAUCUUUGAUGUUUGGGGUAUAGAUUUCAUGGGUCCUUUCCCUCCAUCUUUUGGUUUCACUUAUAUCUUGCUAGCUGUUGAUUAUGUUUCCAAAUGGGUGGAAGCCAAAAAAGCCACCCGAACUAACGAUUCAAAGGUUGUUGCAGAUUUUGUGAAAACUAAUAUCUUUGCUAGGUUUGGCAUGCCUAGAGUUCUCAUUAGUGAUGGAGGCUCUCACUUUUGUAAUCAAACCAUUGAAGCUUUGCUCAAGAAGUACAAAGUGACGCAUAAGGUAUCCACCCCUUAUCAUCCUCAAACCAAUGGGCAAGCGGAAGUUUCAAAUCGGGAGAUCAAGCAAAUUCUUGAGAAAACCGUAGGGCCUUCAAGGAGAGAUUGGAGUUUGCGCUUGGACGAUGCAUUGUGGGCCUAUCGUACGGCCUACAAAACCCCUCUAGGUAUGUCACCUUUUCGUCUCAUUUAUGGUAAACCAUGUCAUUUGCCCGUUGAAUUGGAACAUAGGGCGCAUUGGGCUGUGAAGACCUUCAACAUGGACAUAGAUGCAGCCGGGGUGCAUAGAAAGCUCCAACUAAAUGAACUCGAGGAGAUUAGGCAUGACGCUUAUGAGAACGCUCGAAUUUACAAGGACAAGACCAAGGCGUAUCAUGACAAGAUGCUUCGUACCAAAACAUUCUCCAAGGGACAGAAAGUGCUCCUAUUUGACUCUCGCCUUCGGUUAUUCCCCGGUAAGUUACGUUCCAAGUGGAUUGGGCCAUUUAUUGUUACUAAUGUCUUUCCUCAUGGUGCAGUCCAAGUCCAAAGCUUGAAAACAGGACAUGAAAUCAAGGUUAAUGGGCAUCGAUUGAAGCCCUAUUACGACCUGUUUGAGGAGCAUGUGGUGGAGGAUCUAUCCCUCCAUGCCGUGGGCACCAAAGAUCAUUGAUGAAUGAUAGACGUCCGGCUGCACGACGUUAAAGAAAGCGCUUCUUGGGAGGCAACCCAUGGAAAUAGAGAAGACCUAGGAAUUUCCGACUCCAAAACCAGGUGUUUGCGUUCUUUAACCCUCCUCUCUGUUGCUUUUACUUUGCCAUAUUUAUCAUGUUUCCUCGUUGUUUGUUUGUUUGCUUUUUUGUGAGUUUAUGUUUGAAACAUUGAGGACAAUGUUAGAUUUAAGUGUGGGGGGGUAAACAAGUUGCUGUUGCAUGAUUUUCGUGGGUUUUUAUUCACCUAUCACUUACAAUGUUGUUUCUUGCUGUUUUAAGUGUUUUUAGUGUGUUUUUAAGCAUGUUAGUAUGUUUUGACAUAAAAAUCCGAAAAUUUGACAAAAAUAAAAAAAAAAUAAAAAAUAAAAAUAAAAAAAUAAAAAAAAUUGUUUUGAAAAAGCCAAAAAGAGUUGUUUUUGUGUGUUUGUUUGUGUCUUAGGGUACCUUCCAACACAAAUAAUGAGGAUUUGGUUUUUAAUUGCAUGACUGUUAAAGAAAGUUAUAAACAUGGAUGGAAGUUUGAUAUGCUCUUGAUUUAUGCUUGGUUAUAGUUAUAGUUUACGAAUUCACAUGUAAUCACAAAAAAAAAAAAAAAAAAAAAAAAAAAUCAGUUUUUGUAACAUGCUUGAAGGAAGGAACUCAAACUAACACUACAACCUUGAGAGACUUGAGCCUAAUACGUUCUUUGGAGAGUUAUUAAUCUGUGCAUUUUUGUUUUCUAAAGUCGUUGCAUGAUCUCAUCAUUCUUUGCCUGGUUGCUACUUAGAAGGCGUUUCAUCAUUUAGUUCCAAAUACUAGAACUUAUGCCCGUUCCAUUCAAAGCAUGACAUUGAUUUGCAUAACACAUAUUCAAGAUGAAGUUCUGUAGUGAACUAGAGCCAAAAAGCUUAUCCUGUGCAUAUUUGUUUAAGUUUAACCCCGUUGAGCCUUGUUUAGCCUGUUUUCUUUGUUAAACCACAUUUCCCUUACCUAGCCUAGAUUAGGACUAUCCUUACCCUUGUUUUUAAAGCAUAAUGAAGCAUGACUUAAAAUGAAUUCCUUUUGAUUGUCCUUAUGCAGAAAACAAGUGUGGGGGAAUGAGAGUUUUGUGUUUAGUGUGCCAAAAGAAAGUAAUAAGGCACGGGUUAAAAAAAAAAAAAAAAAAAAAAAAAAAAAAAAAAAAAAAGAGUUUGAAAUAAGUGAGGAAAGGCUCACAAGUGUUGUUUGUUGUAGAAAGGGUCCAAAAAGUUGAAAUCGGCCCUAAAAAGUUGAAUGAAUAACCCCAUUGUGUUUAAAGUUAGUUGCUGCAUUCAAAAGGAAUUCUAAGCAUCAAUUUCAUUACUUUGCUUAUUAUGCUUUAAAAAACGUUUGUUUCCUUACCUUUCAUUGUUAGCCAAUCACCCCUAACCCCGUUACAACCCUUAACUUCAAUCUUGAGUGUUAUGUGUUUCAAUAUGUGGAGUUUGGGAUUGGUACGAGCAUAUGGUAUCCCUGGUUCUCGCAUCUAAGUAGUAGCAUUCCAGUCAUGAGAUCAUAUCUAUACAUGCUUAAUAACUCCAGAAAUUGCUUUCUUUGCUUUAAACAUAUGUGAGUGUUCGUUUUCAUGUUUACAUCAAUCUUCUCACAUCCAGAAAUUGCUUUCUUUGCUUUAAACAUAUGUGAGUGUUCGUUUUCAUGUUUACAUCAAUCUUCUCACAUCCAGAAAUUGCUUUCUUUGCUUUAAACAUAUGUGAGUGUUCGUUUUCAUGUUUACAUCAAUCUUCUCACAUACACCUAGUGUAGGGUGUGUAGUCAGAAAUUCAGAGUGAAAAUAAGAGUGUAUCUUGUAAGGAAUUGAGCAAAUUCUCUAAGGCAUGUUACUACAUUCAAAACAUCGUUUUAAUUGGUUAUAUGUGAACUAGUAUAUGGUGACUAUGAUUAAGUAUGUGCUCAAGGGUAGGGAAGGCCAAAAUAUGUGGUUAUGAUGAUCUUUUGCAUGUCAUGUUGCAUUGAAAAUCCCUAAGGUAAAUGUUGGAAGGUUUAGGUUUUGUUUUUUUUUUUGUUUCUUGUUUUUUGCUCGAGGACAAGUAAAAGCUAAGUGUGGGGGAAUUUGAUAGGAGCAUAUUUAUGCGACUUAGUAUGUUUGUUUUCGUGCAUUUAUGUUCUUAGUUCUUAGUUAUGUUAGUAGUUUAAGCCAUUUUUGUGUGUUUGUAGGUUCUAUGGGCCAAGGAUGCAAGAAGAUGCAUUUUGGAGCACUUUGGAGCAUUUUUGGGCCAAGAUUGGAUGGUGCAAACAUGGAGACAUGAGGAUGGACGAAUUUGAUGAUUCAAUGGGCUAGAAAUCUACAUGUGUGUGUGCAAAGUGUUGGCCUACAACUUCAAACAUCAUAGCUGCCAUGUGAUGGCAGAAAAUGUGUUUAUUGCUAGCUAAAUGGAUGAAGAACAUGCAUGUGCAAGUAUAAACACCACAUGGGCAGCAAGAAGGAAAGAAAACAGCAACACACACACCACAUGGGCAGCAAGGAAUCAGAAAUUAAAGCAUGGAAGAGUGGGAAGUGAUGAUGACAACACAAACACACACACACGGCAAUGGAAUGGAGUUGGCAGAUUUCUACAACUUUGAUCAGCUGACUUUGGGAGCAAAUUGCGAACAGUUCAGAAUGAAUUAGAGAAUGAGCCUUAUAUGCUUGGAAAGCUACAGAUGUCUAUUUUCUAGAACAUUUCGCGGAUUGUUAAUAUCAUUUUUCUAGAAGAAGUUAUAGGCAUUUGAGUAAGGGAAGGUCUAGCUGACGACAACUUGCAGAUUGGAAUUGAAAGCAAACAAAAGAAAAGAAAUAAAACAAGGGGAGUGAAUGGACAGCAGAAAAGCAAGGAAAUUGGACCACUAUGAAGUGGAUUUCUUGUUGGUCUCCCACUUAUAGCUUUGGGUGGCUUUGGUAUGAUUAUUUCUAGGUGGAAAGAGCACAAAGACAGCACACACACACAAGGCAAAAAGCUGGCAGCAUCUUCCUUCAUUGCCGUGGGUUUUUUUUCCCUUGUCCAUUACCUUGCAAUUGCUUGACAUUUCCAACCUCUAUAUAAGCACCAUUCAGCCUUCAAGGAUGAGACAGCCAUUCAUACACAUUUCCAUUAGUUCCAAGGCUUGCAAAGAAGGAGGAGUGCUUGGAGUUGUGCUAGCCAUUCCAUUGGAGUUGUUGGAGCAUUCUAGGUGUCUUCUACUUUGUUUCUCUAUGUUUAAUAUCAAUUGUUUUUGUUUAAUUGCAAGUAUGAGGAACUAAACCCUUACUUAGCUAGGGUGAAGUUCGAAGCCAUGAACAUGUUUGAGAUAUGAAUUGAUUUUCUUCCAAUUGUGAUUUAAUAAGUUGUGAAUGCAAUUCAAUUAACUACUUUCUUCAAAACUAAUUCGUGUAUGUUGAUUAAGGAUGCAUACUUAGUUUUCAUGCAUGAAUUUGAUGCUAGGAUAUAAAUGAGUUUCACCUAAUCGUUACAAGUUUAUAUUCAUUGGUAGUGAAGGUUGCUAGUCACAAUCGCGUUAAUUGAAUUCUUGGCAAACGUAUCAUGCAUUCAUAGUUACGAAUGCCUCGUUAACACUUAUGAUUUUCAUAGAACGUAAUGAUCUUUAAUUGUAUCUCUAUUAUGCAUUCAUGUAGAGGACUUUUGGAGAAUAAUUUGGAUUGUCGUAUGCAUUCAUCCAAUUCAAUAAAUCAAGGAAAAUCUGAGAAUUAAUUAGUGCAUCACGGUUAAUCUGGGGUGUUGAGUUUCAUAAUCUAUUGAAAAGCAAUUGGAAAUCAAUUCAUGUACAAGUGUGUCAUGUGUGAAGAAUGGAUCUCUAGCUAAUCCAUCAACCAUCUAUUUAGUUUUACUUUUUGUUGUUAUCUCAAUCUCAUCCAAACCAAUACCUCCCAUUUACUUUCUUGUAUCGAAGUGUGUUUAAGUUUGUUUAGUUUGUGCCUUAAAGUGUUUUGAACUCUUUGAGUCUAGUUUAGUGUUUUAAAACCUACUUUUGUGUUUUUAAGUUUCUUCUUAUAUUCUUGAGUCUUAUAUUUGUUGAUUAGCAUCCCUAGUUAAUCCCCGGUCUAGAACGAUCCCUACUUGCAUCAUUACUACAAUUGUCAUCAAUAGGGUUUAAUUUGUGUGUCAAGUAAUUCUCACAUCAAAGAGAAAAAAGAAAAUAUCUCUCUAAAACACCCAAAGGCCGGCCACCAUUAGGGAGUGUGAGCUAAUCAUCUUAUCUCCCUUUUGGUCAUUCCUCCAUCCAUCUCACUACACUAGUGGGUGUGGAUCUUUAGAGGUCUUCUACUUUGGAGACUAAAGGAGAACCAAAGGAGCACUCAUACUAACAAAGUGGAGGAGGCAAGGAGGGAGGCUAGGCUCAAGGAGUUCAAGGGACAAAGGGCUUGGAGGUGGUCCAUCCUUGGUCUAAAAUCUAGAUUAAGAGGUAUAGAUCUAUUCCUACACUUUGUUCUUAACUUAAAUGUUUUGAUGCAUCAUAUAUAAACCUAUGAACCUUGAAGGGGAUUUGCAUGACUAUAGCUUUGAUAUUAUGUGAUAAUUGCUUCCGUUGUUUUCGUAUAUAAAAUUUGAUUUGUAUAUGCAUGCUAGUCUUUUUGAAAUCCCAUAUGAAAAUCUCAUAGAUUUCCCUUCAACAUUGUCGGCACCGGAAACUGGGCAAUUUUUCAAACUCCUUAAUCUCGCUCAUUUCUUCAUCAAAGCUUAUGAAAUUUAAACCAAAACAAAGCUAAAGACAAGUAGAAACAUAAUAUAACACUUUGGAUCCUUGAAAUUCACGUGAACAUGUCGGAAAUUACCUCGACUUUCCGGCCAAAUUUAAAACUUGUCGAUCUCCAGUUUCCGACGUCCAAAAUCCUCAAACAAACUAUCCCUAGCCUCCUAGGGACAUCACAAAGCUUCCUAUAAGCUUCAAAUUCCAUAAAAACAAGUCAUAAAUUUUUGCAUGAACAGUACUUCAUUCGGGGUUAGGGUUUUCACGUGAUUUCGAAGUAGUUCUUACCUGUAAGUGGUAUGGAUGUGCUCGUCUGAGCUUCAUGAACACAAUGGUGUCAUUUUCCACUUCGAUCUGUUGCGUUUGCAAAGGUUUUGGUUGACGUUUGUACGUAGAAGGGAGAGAGAGAGAACCGAGAGAGAGAGAGUACAGGAUUGAGAAAGAGAAGGUAUGUGUGUGGUUCAAAAGCCACCAAUCAAAACCAAUAAUUCCCUUACUUCCAAUUGGGUCCAAAAACUUAGGGAAAAUUAAUAAAUGGGUCCAAAUCCAACUUAAAUCAUACAAUACACUUAACGUCCAAGGGUAAAAUUGUCAUUUCACAUCAUCGAAAAUUAAUUAUUCGGGACGGGCUGUGACAGUCAUUGUUCAAUGAAACGAUUAGCUAACCCUUAUUUUAUGACAAUAAAAAGGAAAACAAAUAUGAUCAGUUAGAAACCAAAUAAAAUUUGACAAAAAAAAUGGAGAUUGCAGGAGGCUGAAAAGGAAGAAGGGAGGAGAUUGGAAAAAAGAUGUGGCAUGUCCAAGUAAGCUGCCACAUAAGGUGGUAUAUAAAUUAUGGUAUAAUAAUAUGAUAAGAAUAACAUUACUCAUUGAUUAUAUUGGAACUGGAUGUACCAGUGGCUUUCUAUAUAUUAAAAUUUUUAUUUCUCAGCAAGAUAGAAGAAAAAAAGUUUUAGAAGAUAUUAUUUUCCUAAUGCAUUUUAAAUGAAAAGUCCUAAAACUUAACCUGCAAGAAAUAUUAAUUUGAAAAUACUUCCACCUUGAUAAGCUAUGGUCGAAAUUUGAGUUAUAAGUGUUUGGUAUUAGUAUGUUAACAUUGUACACCAAUAUAAUAAAAAUUAAUGAUGAUAUUGCACUUAUAGUAGUUCAAUUAUAUUUCUCUUAAAGAUAUGAAAUUGUUGAUGCACAAAAUCAGCAAGGACUUUGGUACAACAGAAAGUGUUAAGUUUGUGACCUUCGCUAGAUUGCUCCGGUCACUAGUGUGGAUAAGUAAGUAAAUGGAUAGGGACAGGGAAGCAAACAUAAGAUGUAUGUGGUUCACCUAGAUUGGCUACGUUCACGGAGUAGAGGAGUUCUCAUUAAUUGUGAAGGGUUUACACAAGUACAUAGGUUCAAGCUCUUCUUUA